UGACCAUCAAUAUAGUAUUUCCAAGGCCUACCACCCCCUUGGAGAGGCGAAAGAGGUACAAACCCCUCAAUGUGGUUACCCGGGCCUACCACCCCCCGAGCUAGGGACCAAGGUACAAACCCCUCGAUAUGGUUAUACGGGCCUACUACCCCCCGUACUAGGCAACCAAGGUACCAACCCCUCGAUACGGUUAUACGGGCCUACUACCCCCCGUACUAGGCAACCAAGGUACCAACCCCUCGAUACGGUUAUACGGGCCUACUACCCCCCGUACUAGGCAACCAAGGUACCAACCCCUCGAUACGGUUAUACGGGCCUACUACCCCCCGUACUAGGCAACCAAGGUACCAACCCCUCGAUACGGUUAUACGGGCCUACUACCCCCCGUACUAGGCAACCAAGGUACCAACCCCUCGAUACGGUUAUACGGGCCUACUACCCCCCGUACUAGGCAACCAAGGUACAAACCCCUCGAUACGGUUAUACGGGCCUACUACCCCCCGUACUAGGCAACCAAGGUACAAACCCCUCGAUACGGUUAUACGGGCCUACUACCCCCC
RNAcentral lists this long non-coding RNA (560 nucleotides) under Solanum tuberosum (potato). RNAcentral's name for it is "long non-coding RNA (STUB_LNC000550)". Lineage: Eukaryota; Viridiplantae; Streptophyta; Magnoliopsida; Solanales; Solanaceae. The record is from RNAcentral.